Molecule: long non-coding RNA, 585 nt
Organism: Oncorhynchus keta (chum salmon)
Lineage: Eukaryota; Metazoa; Chordata; Actinopteri; Salmoniformes; Salmonidae
Exons: 3
Source: RefSeq, a predicted model, not a curated record
UUGAGUUUAAUGUUCCUUUUUAUGGCAUAAAAGGCCCUUCUUGCCUUGUCUCUUAGACCGUUCACUGCCUUGUGUUUGUUACCUGUGUUGUUCCUGUUUAGGCCGAGGUAUGUAUAGUUUGUGUGCUCCAGGGCAACGGUGUCUAGAUGGAAUUUGUAUUUGUCGUCCUUGGUUGGGGACAGAUCUAGGUGCUGCUGUAGGCCCUCCUUGGUUGGGGACAGAUCUAGGUGCUGCUGUAGGCCCUCCUUGGUUGGGGACAGAUCUAGGUGCUGCUGUAGGCCCUCCUUGGUUGGGGACAGAUCUAGGUGCUGCUGUAGGCCCUCCUUGGUUGGGGACAGAUCUAGGUGCUGCUGUAGGUCCUCCUUGGUUGGGGACAGAUCUUGGUGCUGCUGUAGGUCCUCCUUGGUUGGGGACAGAUCUUGGUGCUGCUGUAGGUCCCCCUUGGUUGGGGACAGAUCUAGGUGCUGCUGUAGGCCCUCCUUGGUUGGGGACAGAUCUAGGUGCUGCUGUAGGCCCUCCUUGGUUGGGGACAGAUCUAGGUGCUGCUGUAGGUCCUCCUUGGUUGGGGACAGAUCUAGGUGCUGC